CCUACGGGAGGCAGCAGUGAGGAAUAUUGGUCAAUGGACGAGAGUCUGAACCAGCCAAGCAGCGUGAAGGAUGACUGCCCUAUGGGUUGUAAACUUCUUUUAUAAAGGAAUAAAACGAGGCACGUGUGCCUUUUUGCAUGUACUUUAUGAAUAAGGAUCGGCGAACUCCGUGCCAGCAGCCGCGGUAAUACGGAGGGUUCGAGCGUUAUCCGGAUUUAUUGGGUGUAAAGGGAGCGUAGAUGGGUUGUUAAGUCAGUUGAGAAAGUUUGUGGCUCAACCGUAAAAUUGCAAUUGAUACUGGCAGUCUUGAGUACAGUAGAGGUAAGCGGAAUUCGUGGUGUAGCGGUGAAAUGCUUAGAGAUCACGAAGAACCCCGAUUGCGAAGGCAGCUUACUAAACUGUGACUGACAUUGAUGCUCGAAAGUGUGGGUAGCAAACAGGAGUAGAUACCCUUGUAGUC
Molecule: ribosomal RNA, 460 nt
Filed under: uncultured bacterium
Lineage: Bacteria
Description: partial 16S ribosomal RNA
Rfam family: Bacterial small subunit ribosomal RNA
Source: RNAcentral